ACCAUACCGCCAACUAUGGCUCUGAAUUUCAAACCUACAGUUGCACUGUAUUCUUCUAACCUGCGUUAUGGGUCCAUUGUGAUAUUCUCGCGGGUUGCUUGCAACGUAACACUGUAACGUGUUCACUUCAUAUAACCGUACUUGAAGAAAAUGGUGAAAAGACGUUCAGUGCUUGGCUAAAAACAGUGGACAGGUCCAUGCUCAAGUAAUCUCUACGACCUUGGAUAAGACUCCUGCUGUUUUGGAUCUUGCAAUCAAACAUGGAGAUAUCAAAGAACUUGAUUGAAAAAUCUCGACUUCCCGAGAUGAGGAUGGGUGAAAAUGGGUGAAAAGCCAUCGCUGUUACUUCCUGAAGUGAAGUUGGAAUCAAUAUAUCGAUCUUAGAGAUCUCAAAUGCUCUACAUCUGAACUGACACCUACAUCUGCAUGAUCAUAUAAUGUUCUAAUCACUGGAUGGUUUUC
Molecule: long non-coding RNA, 462 nt
Organism: Dendronephthya gigantea
Lineage: Eukaryota; Metazoa; Cnidaria; Anthozoa; Malacalcyonacea; Nephtheidae
Exons: 3
Source: RefSeq, a predicted model, not a curated record